CUUAAGGAAUUGACGGGGAGCACCACAACGGGUGGAGCCUGCGGUUAAUUGGACUCAACGCCGGGCAGCUCACCGGAUAAGACAGCUGGAUGAUAGCCGGGCUGAAGACUCUGCUUGACUAGCUGAGAGGAGGUGCAUGGCCGUCGUCAGUUCGUACUGUGAAGCAUCCUGUUAAGUCAGGCAACGAGCGAGACCCACGCCCACAGUUGCCAGCGUACUCUCUGGAGUGACGGGUACACUGUGGGACCGCCGCUGCUAAAGCGGAGGAAGGAAUGGGCAACGGUAGGUCAGUAUGCCCCGAAUAUCCCGGGCUACACGCGAGCUACAAUGGUUGGUACAAUGGGUAUCUACCCCGAAAGGGGACGGGGAUCUCCUAAAACCAAUCUUAGUUCGGAUUGAGGGCUGCAACUCGCCCUCAUGAAGCUGGAAUCCGUAGUAAUCGCGUUUCAACAGAACGCGGUGAAUACGUCCCUGCUCCUU
Molecule: ribosomal RNA, 480 nt
Filed under: uncultured Methanolinea sp.
Lineage: Archaea; Methanobacteriati; Methanobacteriota; Methanomicrobia; Methanomicrobiales; Methanoregulaceae
Description: bacterial SSU rRNA
Rfam family: Archaeal small subunit ribosomal RNA
Source: RNAcentral